This 634-nucleotide ribosomal RNA is filed under the name Cunninghamella polymorpha. RNAcentral describes it as "LSU rRNA". It matches the Rfam family "Eukaryotic large subunit ribosomal RNA", at positions 83 to 638 of the family's 3401-position model. The record is from RNAcentral. Lineage: Eukaryota; Fungi; Mucoromycota; Mucoromycetes; Mucorales; Cunninghamellaceae.
GUACGGCGAGUGAAGAGGGAAAAGCUCAAAGUUGGAACCUGGUAGGCAUAGCUUACCCGGAUUGUAAACUAAAGUUUUCGAGUCGUUUAGUCAGCCAGGUAAAUAAGUCCUCUGGAAAGGGGCGACAUAGAGGGUGAAAUCCCCGUCUUUGGCCUGAGUUUUGAUUAGGCGUUUGGCUUGGAAACGAAGAGUCAGGUUGUUUGGGAAUGCAGCCUAAAAUGGGAGGUAAAUCUCUCCUAAAGCUAAAUAUUGACGAAAGACCGAUAGCGAACAAGUACCGUGAGGGAAAGAUGAAAAGCACUUUGAAAAGAGGGUCAAAAAGUACGUGAAAUUGCUGAAAGGGAACCGUAUGAAAUCAGAUCUACUGGUAGGUAAUCAAUCUUUCCUUUGGGAAGGAUGCACUUGCCUACUAUGUAUGCCAGCGACAUUUUGGUUGGGAGGAAAAAAAUAAAGGAAAUGUAGCUUAGGUUUCGGCUUAGGUGUUAUAGUCCUUUAUAAAAUACUCUCGGCUGGAAUGAGGAACGCAGCAAACCGUAAGGCGAAGAUUUCAGGCGCUUAGAGGGAAUAAUUAGAGAAUUUCUGCUUCGGGUGGUGCUUUGAUUAUUACCUUUAACACGCUUGGAGUUCUUUUAAU